Long non-coding RNA from Psammomys obesus (fat sand rat), 237 nucleotides. RefSeq lists it as uncharacterized. Lineage: Eukaryota; Metazoa; Chordata; Mammalia; Rodentia; Muridae. The transcript has 2 exons. The record is from RefSeq and is a predicted model, not a curated record.
AUCAUUCACACAACACAAUGGACCGCGAGUUCCCUGCUGGCGCGCUCACCUCCGGGCUCAGCACCGGCUUGCUGGCUGCGACCCAGCGGUCACGCCUUUCCCCCGGUGGGAUCUCCCCGCCGCUCUGCGCUUGGGGAGCUCCCGGUGGAGCUGUGGGCGCCGCCGUGUCGCGGCGAGGAAAGGGGCGAGAGGAAAGAACCUUCUGUUGGAUGAAAUAAAAGCAAACACUGGGCCUUC